AGAGCGAACGCUGGCGGCAGGCUUAACACAUGCAAGUCGAGCGGGCGUAGCAAUACGUCAGCGGCAGACGGGUGAGUAACGCGUGGGAACGUACCUUUUGGUUCGGAACAACACAGGGAAACUUGUGCUAAUACCGGAUAAGCCCUUACGGGGAAAGAUUUAUCGCCGAAAGAUCGGCCCGCGUCUGAUUAGCUAGUUGGUGAGGUAAUGGCUCACCAAGGCGACGAUCAGUAGCUGGUCUGAGAGGAUGAUCAGCCACAUUGGGACUGAGACACGGCCCAAACUCCUACGGGAGGCAGCAGUGGGGAAUAUUGGACAAUGGGCGCAAGCCUGAUCCAGCCAUGCCGCGUGAGUGAUGAAGGCCCUAGGGUUGUAAAGCUCUUUUGUGCGGGAAGAUAAUGACGGUACCGCAAGAAUAAGCCCGGCUAACUUCGCGCCAGAAGCCGC
This 447-nucleotide ribosomal RNA is filed under the name uncultured bacterium. RNAcentral describes it as "SSU rRNA". It matches the Rfam family "Bacterial small subunit ribosomal RNA", at positions 26 to 518 of the family's 1533-position model. The record is from RNAcentral.